UACGUAUGGGGCGAGCGUUGUUCGGAAUUAUUGGGCGUAAAGGGCGUCUAGGCGGGGGAUUAAGUUAGGUGUGAAAGCCAUGAGCUCAACUCGUGAAUUGCACUUAAAACUGGUUCUCUUGAGUUCGGGAGAGGAGAGCGGAAUUCCAGGUGUAGCGGUGAAAUGCGUAGAUAUCUGGAAGAACACCAGUGGCGAAGGCGGCUCUCUGGCCUAGAACUGACGCUGAAGCGCGAAAGCGUGGGGAGCGAACGGG
RNAcentral lists this ribosomal RNA (253 nucleotides) under uncultured bacterium. RNAcentral's name for it is "partial 16S ribosomal RNA". It matches the Rfam family "Bacterial small subunit ribosomal RNA", at positions 524 to 776 of the family's 1533-position model. The record is from RNAcentral.